RNAcentral lists this ribosomal RNA (484 nucleotides) under uncultured bacterium. Its description in RNAcentral is "partial 16S ribosomal RNA". It matches the Rfam family "Bacterial small subunit ribosomal RNA", at positions 30 to 507 of the family's 1533-position model. The record is from RNAcentral.
AUUGAACGCUGGCGGCAGGCCUAACACAUGCAAGUCGAGCGGAUGAAGGGAGCUUGCUCCUGGAUUCAGCGGCGGACGGGUGAGUAAUGCCUAGGAAUCUGCCUGGUAGUGGGGGAUAACGUCCGGAAACGGGCGCUAAUACCGCAUACGUCCUGAGGGAGAAAGUGGGGGAUCUUCGGACCUCACGCUAUCAGAUGAGCCUAGGUCGGAUUAGCUAGUUGGUGGGGUAAAGGCCUACCAAGGCGACGAUCCGUAACUGGUCUGAGAGGAUGAUCAGUCACACUGGAACUGAGACGCGGUCCAGACUCCUACGGGAGGCAGCAGUGGGGAAUAUUGGACAAUGGGCGAAAGCCUGAUCCAGCCAUGCCGCGUGUGUGAAGAAGGUCUUCGGAUUGUAAAGCACUUUAAGUGGGGAGGAAGGGCAGUAAGUUAAUACCUUGCUGUUUUGACGGUACCAACAGAAUAAGCACCGGCUAACUUCGUG